GGUAAUAGUAAAAAACAAAACCUAUAAAAUUUGGCGGUUGUAAUAUUCUAGAGAAACUUGUUUUAUAAUAGACAACUCUCAAUAAUUUUAGCUUUUAUUUUAAAGUCCCUAUACCGCCGUUCAAAGAUAAAAUAUAAAUACCAUAUCUCUAUAACAAUAUUUUAAAAAUCAGGUCAAGGUGCGGCCAAUGUAAUAGUAAAAAUUAGUUACUUAUAAAAAAAAUUUAUGAAAUUAAAAUUAAAAUUUUAAACGAAACAGAAUCUAAAAACAAAACCUCAAUUAAAAUUUAUACUUGAAAUUUACACUAUCACAA
Molecule: ribosomal RNA, 313 nt
Filed under: Ixchela santibanezi
Lineage: Eukaryota; Metazoa; Arthropoda; Arachnida; Araneae; Pholcidae
Description: partial 12S ribosomal RNA
Source: RNAcentral